CACGUAGGGGACGAGCGUUGUCCGGAUUCAUUGGGCGUAAAGCGCGCGUAGGCGGCUCGGAAAGUCGGGCGUGAAAUGCCGGGGCUCAACCCCGGGACUGCGUCCGAUACUUCCGAGCUGGAGGUAGGUAGGGGAGAUCGGAAUUCCUGGUGUAGCGGUGAAAUGCGCAGAUAUCAGGAGGAACACCGGUGGCGAAGGCGGAUCUCUGGGCCUUACCUGACGCUGAGGCGCGAAAGCUAGGGGAGCGAACAGGAUUAGAACCGGUACCGUC
Molecule: ribosomal RNA, 271 nt
Filed under: uncultured bacterium
Lineage: Bacteria
Description: partial 16S ribosomal RNA
Rfam family: Bacterial small subunit ribosomal RNA
Source: RNAcentral